UGUGUGUGUGUGACAGAGAGAGAGAGGAAGAGAGAGAGAGGAGGGGGAGAUUCACAGAGUCCUGCUUUCCUGAGCUGAGAGCUGCUGGUUCCCAAGCCGAAAGUAUUAGGAGAAACACGGCUUCUUGUGUCUUUGCUGCAUUUACACAAUGAAAUCACUUCUAUUUCUAUUCCUGCUAACCGGCCGCUUUUGCUUGAAUCCACUCCGAGCCAUGGACGACGGGAACAAAAAAAAAGUACUUAAAAACAACUAGACCAAAAAAAAAAAAAAAGGGAAAGAAAACCCUAACAAGCCCAACCACGCUGGGAUGAGGAUUAUUCACUUUAGCGCUGCCUGAAGCGUGGUCUGCUUGGGUCUCUGUAAUGCAACUUGAGUCCGCCCAGCUCGAAGGAAUGCGGUGGUCAAAACAGCUUUCCAGCUGUUUGGUUUUUUGGGAUUCCAACCCCCCUCCCCCCACAGAGACACACUCCUCAAGUGUACAUGUGAAGGUGUUACUUUUUCAUGGCAGGAUUUGCUUAAAAUAAACUAAGACCAAAACUGUC
This is a non-coding RNA of Agelaius phoeniceus (red-winged blackbird), 542 nucleotides long. The record is from RefSeq and is a predicted model, not a curated record. NCBI's taxonomy places the organism in Eukaryota, Metazoa, Chordata, Aves, Passeriformes, Icteridae.